This 791-nucleotide ribosomal RNA is filed under the name Escherichia coli. RNAcentral's name for it is "partial 23S ribosomal RNA". It matches the Rfam family "Bacterial large subunit ribosomal RNA", at positions 398 to 1190 of the family's 2925-position model. Lineage: Bacteria; Pseudomonadati; Pseudomonadota; Gammaproteobacteria; Enterobacterales; Enterobacteriaceae. The record is from RNAcentral.
UGUGAGCUCGAUGAGUAGGGCGGGACACGUGGUAUCCUGUCUGAAUAUGGGGGGACCAUCCUCCAAGGCUAAAUACUCCUGACUGACCGAUAGUGAACCAGUACCGUGAGGGAAAGGCGAAAAGAACCCCGGCGAGGGGAGUGAAAAAGAACCUGAAACCGUGUACGUACAAGCAGUGGGAGCACGCUUAGGCGUGUGACUGCGUACCUUUUGUAUAAUGGGUCAGCGACUUAUAUUCUGUAGCAAGGUUAACCGAAUAGGGGAGCCGAAGGGAAACCGAGUCUUAACUGGGCGUUAAGUUGCAGGGUAUAGACCCGAAACCCGGUGAUCUAGCCAUGGGCAGGUUGAAGGUUGGGUAACACUAACUGGAGGACCGAACCGACUAAUGUUGAAAAAUUAGCGGAUGACUUGUGGCUGGGGGUGAAAGGCCAAUCAAACCGGGAGAUAGCUGGUUCUCCCCGAAAGCUAUUUAGGUAGCGCCUCGUGAAUUCAUCUCCGGGGGUAGAGCACUGUUUCGGCAAGGGGGUCAUCCCGACUUACCAACCCGAUGCAAACUGCGAAUACCGGAGAAUGUUAUCACGGGAGACACACGGCGGGUGCUAACGUCCGUCGUGAAGAGGGAAACAACCCAGACCGCCAGCUAAGGUCCCAAAGUCAUGGUUAAGUGGGAAACGAUGUGGGAAGGCCCAGACAGCCAGGAUGUUGGCUUAGAAGCAGCCAUCAUUUAAAGAAAGCGUAAUAGCUCACUGGUCGAGUCGGCCUGCGCGGAAGAUGUAACGGGGCUAAACCAU